CACACUGUACAGUACGGUGAGAGUGCCAGAAAUUGUUUUACAACACUGUAUUAAAUUACUGCAGUAUGGGCAGAGAGAGGGAAAGGGAGGAAUAGAGAGAACAAGAGAGGGAGAGAGAGAGAGAGAGAGAGAGGGGGAGAGAGAGAGAGAGAGAGAGAGAGAGAGAGAGAGAGAGAGAGAUAGAGAGAAUAUCAUCUGCUCUUCUUUAGCUGGUUGAAAUGUCAUCCUGAUGAACAUCAGCUUUGUACCUAAGAGGAACAAAAUUUACUACAAUCACGCAAACGUGUAAAUAUUUGUAUGAACACAACAAGAUUCAACAACUGAGACAUAAACUGAACAAGUUCCACAGACAUGUAACCAAAAUGGAAUAAUGUGUCCCUGAACAAAGGUGGGGUCAAAAUCAAAGUAAGUAUUAUGAGUAUGAGCAGUAUGAGCUACAUUAAGUACUGCAGUGCAUAUCCUCCUCAUGGACUGCACCAGAUUUGCCCGUCCUUGCUGUGAGAUGUUACCCGACUCUUCCACCAAAUCACCUGCAAGUUCCUGGACAUUUCUGGGGAGAAUGGCCCUAGUCCUCACCCUCCGAUCCAACAGGUCCCAGACAUGCUCAAUGGGAUUGAGAUCCGGGCUCUUCGCUGGCCAUGGAAGAACACAGAAAUUCCUGUCUUGCAGGAAAUCAUGCACAGAAUGAGCAGUAUGGCUGGUGGCAUUGUCAUGCUGGAGCGUCAUGUCAGGAUGAGCCUGCAAGAAUGGUACCACAUGAGGGAUGAGUAUGUCUUCCCUGUAACGCACAGUGUUGAGAUUGCCUCCACCUCCAAUCGAUACCGCUCCAGAGUACAGGCCUCGGUGUAACGCUCAUUCCUUCGACAAUAAACGUGAUUUUCAGUGUUUUUCAGAGUCAGUAGAAAGGCUCUUUAGUGUCCUAAGUUGUCAUAACUCUGACCUUAAUUGCCUACCGUCUGUAAACUUUUCAUUAAUUUUCAUUAAUUGUUUAUGGUUCAUUGAACAAGCAUGGGAAACAGUGUUAGAACCCUUUACAAUGAAGAUCUGUAAAGUUAUUUUGAUGUUUACGAAUUAUCUUUGAAAGACAGGGUCCUGAAAAAGGGAUGUUUCUUUUGUUGCUGAGUUUAGUGGGUGUAGUGAUUUUUAUUUGUUUGAAUGUAGACAGGGUUUCUAAAAAUCUAUUUAUAUCUGUGCUCACA
Oncorhynchus masou masou (cherry salmon) is the source of this 1199-nucleotide long non-coding RNA. RefSeq lists it as uncharacterized. The record is from RefSeq and is a predicted model, not a curated record. The transcript is spliced from 2 exons. NCBI's taxonomy places the organism in Eukaryota, Metazoa, Chordata, Actinopteri, Salmoniformes, Salmonidae.